AUGAACGCUAGCUACAGGCUUAACACAUGCAAGUCGAGGGGAAACGAUAGAGAAAGCUUGCUUUUUCUAGGCGUCGACCGGCGCACGGGUGAGUAACGCGUAUCCAACCUGCCCACCACUUGGGGAUAACCUUGCGAAAGUAAGACUAAUACCCAAUGAUAUCUCUAGAAGACAUCUGAAAGAGAUUAAAGAUUUAUCGGUGAUGGAUGGGGAUGCGUCUGAUUAACUUGUUGGCGGGGUAACGGCCCACCAAGGCGACGAUCAGUAGGGGUUCUGAGAGGAAGGUCCCCCACAUUGGAACUGAGACACGGUCCAAACUCCUACGGGAGGCAGCAGUGAGGAAUAUUGGUCAAUGGACGAGAGUCUGAACCAGCCAAGUAGCGUGCAGGAAGACGGCCCUAUGGGUUGUAAACUGCUUUUAUAAGGGAAUAAAGUGGGAGUCGUGACUCCUUUUGCAUGUACCUUAUGAAUAAGGACCGGCUAAUUCCGUGCCAGCAGCCGCGGUAAUACGGAAGGUCCGGGCGUUAUCCGGAUUUAUUGGGUUUAAAGGGAGCGUAGGCCGGAGAUUAAGCGUGUUGUGAAAUGUAGACGCUCAACGUCUGCACUGCAGCGCGAACUGGUUUCCUUGAGUACGCACAAAGUGGGCGGAAUUCGUGGUGUAGCGGUGAAAUGCUUAGAUAUCACGAAGAACUCCGAUUGCGAAGGCAGCUCACUGGAGCGCAACUGACGCUGAAGCUCGAAAGUGCGGGUAUCAAACAGGAUUAGAUACCCUGGUAGUCCGCACGGUAAACGAUGGAUGCCCGCUGUUGGUCUGAAUAGGUCAGCGGCCAAGCGAAAGCAUUAAGCAUCCCACCUGGGGAGUACGCCGGCAACGGUGAAACUCAAAGGAAUUGACG
Molecule: ribosomal RNA, 896 nt
Filed under: uncultured bacterium
Lineage: Bacteria
Description: bacterial SSU rRNA
Rfam family: Bacterial small subunit ribosomal RNA
Source: RNAcentral